This 408-nucleotide long non-coding RNA is filed under the name Physcomitrium patens. RNAcentral's name for it is "long non-coding RNA (PPAT_LNC005000)". The record is from RNAcentral. Lineage: Eukaryota; Viridiplantae; Streptophyta; Bryopsida; Funariales; Funariaceae.
UUAUAAAAGAAACACAAGAAAAUCCUAAAGAAAUAUUAAAGAAUAUUAAAGAAAACUUAGUCAAAUCCUAACAAAAAUCUAAUAAAAUCUUAAAUUCUAACCAACCCCUAAUCCUAAUCUAACUUUAAUCAAAUCCUAAAUAAAUCCUAAAUCCUAAUCAAAUCCUAAACCAAAUCCUAAAUUCUAAACCCUAAAUCAAAUCUUAAUCAAAUCUUAAUCAAAUCCUAAACCAAACCCUGAAUUCUAAUCCGAAUCCUAAUCCAAAUCCUAAUCCAAAUCCUAAUCCCUAAAUCAAAUCCUAAACCAAACUCUAAAUCCUAAAUCCUAAGCCAAAUCCUAACCAAACCCUAAUCCUAAAUCCUAAACCAAAUCCUAACCAAACCCUAAUCCUAAAUCCUAAUCAAACCC